RNAcentral lists this small RNA (29 nucleotides) under Bombyx mori (domestic silkworm). Its description in RNAcentral is "ovarian small RNA-10532". Lineage: Eukaryota; Metazoa; Arthropoda; Insecta; Lepidoptera; Bombycidae. The record is from RNAcentral.
AAGAGGAGAUAGUAUGCAGCCCUGCCUAA